UGAGGAUGUAACAACAGAGUCAGGUAGUGCAAGCUAGGCAUUGACCACUCUUGUUGAAGUCCUAUUUUCUGCAAUGGAGUUACACCUUGGCUGCGCUCCCGCCACGCGCUGCAAACGAAAUCCGCCCGCCGUCGGUGGGUCCGAGUCCCCAGGGUCAACGAAAAGAAAGGACACGGAGUGGGCAAGCUGGCUCGACAGGCAGAAACCCAGAGAGGUGUGUCGUCUGGGUACAAAUAUCUCUGUACAAUAACCAUCAGAAUUUACAACAUCAUUCAGAGUCAAACCAGACAGUUACGGAGGUGCAGAUGACAGACUCAAUAAAUCCUCUGUAGAACGAAUCAGCAGCUCUUUGGGCAGUUUGAGCAUAUAAUUUGUUCCUUCACCGACAGAAGUCCAUUCCAUAUUCUUGGCAACCGAGGAAAUCCGCUCAACCCCAAUUUCGCUCCUUCACCAGUUGAGACAUGUUUCAGAAUAGCAAGCACAAGAUGGCACCAUUCACACAAGACAGAGUUGAACAUGGUGGAACAACGCCCAGUUUCUCCUGAGGCCUCAUGUGAGCAGCGUUGCUACUCUUACUCAAUAAACCAGUGCGAUCUUAUUCUA
Long non-coding RNA from Thamnophis elegans (Western terrestrial garter snake), 603 nucleotides. RefSeq lists it as uncharacterized. The transcript has 3 exons. Lineage: Eukaryota; Metazoa; Chordata; Lepidosauria; Squamata; Natricidae. The record is from RefSeq and is a predicted model, not a curated record.